Molecule: ribosomal RNA, 459 nt
Filed under: uncultured bacterium
Lineage: Bacteria
Description: partial 16S ribosomal RNA
Rfam family: Bacterial small subunit ribosomal RNA
Source: RNAcentral
CCUACGGGUGGCAGCAGUGAGGAAUAUUGGUCAAUGGGCGAGAGCCUGAACCAGCCAAGUCGCGUGAAGGAUGACGGCCCUACGGGUUGUAAACUUCUUUUGUAGGGGACUAAUGAGUUCAACGUUUGCCUUUUCGUGAGUACCUUAAGAAAAAGCAUCGGCUAACUCCGUGCCAGCAGCCGCGGUAAUUCGGAGGAUGCCAGCGUUAUCCGGAUUUUUUGGGUUUAAAGGGUUCGUAGGCGGGAUAUUAAGUCAGUGGUGAAAAUUUGGGGCUCAACCCCGUCGUGCCGUUGAAACUGAUGUUCUUGAGUGGGCGAGAAGUAUGCGGAAUGCGUGGUGUAGCGGUGAAAUGCAUAGAUAUCACGAAGAACUCCGAUUGCGAAGGCAGCAUACCGGCGCCCAACUGACGCUGAAGCACGAAAGCGUGGGUAUCGAACAGGAUUAGAUACCCGAGUAGUC